GGGGGGAGCAAGCGUUGUUCGGAUUUACUGGGCGUAAAGGGCGCGUAGGCGGCCACCGCAAGUCACUUGUGAAAUCUCCGGGCUUAACCCGGAAAGGUCAACUGAUACUGCGGGGCUAGAGUGCAGAGGGGGCAACUGGAAUUCUCGGUGUAGCGGUGAAAUGCGUAGAUAUCGAGAGGAACACCUGCGGCGAAGGCGGGUUGCUGGGCUGACACUGACGCUGAUGUGCGAAAGCUAGGGGAGCGAACGGGAUUAGAUACCCCGGUAGUCCUAGCCUUAAACGAUGAAUGCUUGGUGUCUGGGGUUUUAUAGUCCCCGGGUGCCGUCGCUAACGCUUUAAGCAUUCCGCCUGGGGAGUACGGUCGCAAGACUG
This 373-nucleotide ribosomal RNA is filed under the name uncultured bacterium. RNAcentral describes it as "bacterial SSU rRNA". It matches the Rfam family "Bacterial small subunit ribosomal RNA", at positions 527 to 896 of the family's 1533-position model. The record is from RNAcentral.